This is a non-coding RNA of Pelobates cultripes (western spadefoot toad), 375 nucleotides long. The record is from the annotation of a GenBank genome assembly. Lineage: Eukaryota; Metazoa; Chordata; Amphibia; Anura; Pelobatidae.
GAGUUCCAAAGGCAGCUGCAAUUUAGGUUGUCCUUUUAUGGGGAGAAUCCACCUGCUGAGAUCAUCUCCAGGACAAUGACAGAUGUCCAGGAGUUUGUACUGAGGCAAAGGAUAACGGCAACACCAGAAUGCAGCUCAACAGUAACCAUGGUACAAGAGGGUAAGCCUAAAAUACCUUACCAAGCAUUUAAAAUGUAUGUAGAGGCAGAGGAAGACAGAUGCAUUCCUCCAGGAUUUUGAAAGAUUGUGUGCCUUACAUAAAAUCAGCGCAGAAGAUCGGGUCCCCAUUUUACCUGGGCGACUAACCAGGAGAGCAGCAGAGGCUUACUGUCACGUAUUCAUCCGCUUACAAAAAUGUGGUUAAUGACAUUUACU